AUGGGACACGCGUCCACUGCGGUUCCGGGCGCGCCGUUCACGCCCGGCUGACGAUGGCUUGCGAGGUUCUGUCAGCC
RNAcentral lists this small RNA (77 nucleotides) under Xanthomonas codiaei. RNAcentral describes it as "sX9 sRNA". It matches the Rfam family "Xanthomonas sRNA sX9". RNAcentral also lists the same sequence under 2 other names. The record is from RNAcentral. Lineage: Bacteria; Pseudomonadati; Pseudomonadota; Gammaproteobacteria; Lysobacterales; Lysobacteraceae.